UGCGCAGGACGACCUGCGUCAGCGUGUCGUUGGGGACGGCCCC
RNAcentral lists this non-coding RNA (43 nucleotides) under Afipia sp. P52-10. RNAcentral's name for it is "Guanidine-II riboswitch aptamer (mini-ykkC)". It matches the Rfam family "Guanidine-II riboswitch aptamer (mini-ykkC)". Rfam says of the family: Simpler in structure and has fewer highly conserved nucleotide positions than the ykkC-yxkD leader. RNAcentral also lists the same sequence under 1 other name. Lineage: Bacteria; Pseudomonadati; Pseudomonadota; Alphaproteobacteria; Hyphomicrobiales; Nitrobacteraceae. The record is from Rfam by way of RNAcentral.